UACAGAGGUGGCAAGCGUUGUUCGGAAUUACUGGGCGUGAAGGGCGCGUAGGCGGCCUUCUAAGUCAGACGUGAAAUCCCCCGGCUUAACCUGGGAACUGCGUCUGAUACUGGGAGGCUUGAGUAUGGGAGAGGGAUGUAGAAUUCCAGGUGUAGCGGUGAAAUGCGUAGAUAUCUGGAGGAAUACCGGUGGCGAAGGCGGCAUCCUGGACCAUUACUGACGCUGAGGCGCGAAAGCUAGGGGAGCAAACAGG
Molecule: ribosomal RNA, 253 nt
Filed under: uncultured bacterium
Lineage: Bacteria
Description: partial 16S ribosomal RNA
Rfam family: Bacterial small subunit ribosomal RNA
Source: RNAcentral